CUGGUCACAAAAAUAGUGGCAGACCUAUGGCUCACCGUUGACUUUCUGGUUGACUUCAGCGUUCUCUCUGCAGUGUGUGUGCUCAUUUGCUUGGUUGUGUCUGACUCUUGUGACCCGUGGACCACAGCCCACUAGGCUCCUCUGCUCAUGGACUUUUCCAGGCAAAUUGUUGGUUUCUCAGUCAUGUCUGACUUUGUGACCCUACGGACUGUAGCCUGGUAGGUUCCUCUGUCCAUGGGGAUUCUCCAGGCAAGAAUACUGAAGUCGGUUGCCAUGUCCUUCUCUAGGGGAUCUUCCCAAUCCAGGGAUUGAAUCCAGGUCUUCCACAUUGCAGGCGGAUUCUUCACCAUAUGAGCUACCAGGGAAGCCCAUGAAUACUGGAGUGGGUAGCCUAUCCCUUCUCCAGGGGAUCUUCCCAACUCAGGAAUCAAACUGGGGUCUCCUGCAUUGCAGGUGGAUUCUUUUACCAGCUGGGCUACCUGGGAAGUCUAGGCAAACUGUUGCUGCUGCUAAGUCACUUCAGUCGUGUCCGACUCUGUGUGACCCCACAGACGGCAGCCCACCAGGCUCCCCAGUCCCUGGGAUUCUCCAGGCAAGAAUGCUGGAGUAGGUUGUCAUUCCCUUCUCCAGUGCAUGAAAGUGAAAAGUGAAAGUGAAGUCGCUCAGUCAUGUCAGACUCUUAGUGACCCCAUGGACUACAGCCUACCAGGCUCUUCUGUCCAUGGGAUUUUCCAGGCAAGAGUACUGGAGUGGGGUGCCAUUGCCUUCUCCCAGGCAAACUUAGUGGGCUGCUAUUUUCUCUUCCAGGGGAUCUUCCUGACCCAAGGAUCAAACCUGCAUCUCUGGCGUCUCUUUUCAUUGGCAGGUGGGUUGUUUACCACUGAGCCACCUAGGAAUCCCUUCUAUACCAUGCAACUUUUAAGAACCGAAGCGUAUAGUUGAUGAUGACCAUAUAAAUAUAAUUGCAUAGAACAUUUACAUGCAUUCUCAAUUUUUAACAAAUGAGUGGAAGGAAAGUUUUGUGAUGGCAAGGAGAAGUAGAGAAAUCCAAGUUAAGAUGCAAGGUUUAAAAAAGAGGAAGUUAGGGUUAGGAGAGAGACUUAGGGAGAAGAGUAGAAAGAGAAAAGGGUAAGAUCUUUUUUGCUUUGACCUUGAAAUGUUAGACCUCUCAUAGAUCUAUAUAGAUUACUUAGAUUACUCUUGCCAACAAGAGUUUACCGAUAUAUUGUCAACUAUAAACUGGCACUUGCCAUCUACCUCUACAACGAUUAAAUCAUGUGAUUCAACAACCUCUGAAAGGAGUUCAGAGUAGAAAGCAGAAAUGAGGUACUCUGUGCUGAGGAGAAAACUGUCAGGACAGCUCUUCAGAUAUUUUAGGAGCCCA
This is a long non-coding RNA of Bos taurus (domestic cattle), 1384 nucleotides long. The record is from Ensembl. NCBI's taxonomy places the organism in Eukaryota, Metazoa, Chordata, Mammalia, Artiodactyla, Bovidae.